GAUGAACGCUGGCGGCGUGCCUAAUACAUGCAAGUAGAACGCUGAAGGAAGGAGCUUGCUCUUUCCGGAUGAGUUGCGCACGGGUGAGUAACGCGUAGGUAACCUGCCUGGUAGCGGGGGAUAACUAUUGGAAACGAUAGCUAAUACCGCAUAACAGUAGAUGUUGCAUGAUAUCUACUUAAAAGGUGCAAUUGCACCACUACCAGAUGGACCUGCGUUGUAUUAGCUAGUUGGUGAGGUAACGGCUCACCAAGGCGACGAUACAUAGCCGACCUGAGAGGGUGAGCGGCCACACUGGGACUGAGACACGGCCCAGACGCCUACGGGAGGCAGCAGUAGGGAAUCUUCGGCAAUGGACGGAAGUCUGACCGAGCAACGCCGCGUGAGUGAAGAAGGUUUUCGGAUCGUAAAGCUCUGUUGUAAGAGAAGAACGAGUGUGAGAGUGGAAAGUUCACACUGUGACGGUAUCUUACCAGAAAGGGACGGCUAACUACGUG
RNAcentral lists this ribosomal RNA (497 nucleotides) under uncultured bacterium. RNAcentral describes it as "partial 16S ribosomal RNA". It matches the Rfam family "Bacterial small subunit ribosomal RNA", at positions 28 to 507 of the family's 1533-position model. The record is from RNAcentral.